RNAcentral lists this small RNA (54 nucleotides) under uncultured Pyrobaculum sp. RNAcentral describes it as "Pyrobac-1 RNA". It matches the Rfam family "Pyrobac-1 RNA", at positions 4 to 55 of the family's 60-position model. Rfam says of the family: The motif has been shown by to be part of sRNA202 and sRNA203 canonical and noncanonical pseudouridine guide RNA (H/ACA RNA). Lineage: Archaea; Thermoproteati; Thermoproteota; Thermoprotei; Thermoproteales; Thermoproteaceae. The record is from RNAcentral.
GCCGGGACUACGCCGGGCGAGGGCGGCUGACGCCGCGCUGUGAACUCGGCGGGG